GACGAGGGAGUGAGAUAAUUUGUGAAAAGCAGAGAGAUUCCUUUUUUAUAGAUUUAUGUUGCAGGCAAUAUUUCAACCUAAGAGCAUGGACACUUAUUUGCUACUUGGAUGCCCUUGAAAAAUUACUUCAUCUCCUGCAUUGUUUCCAUUGUUGUCAGAAGGACCGCAAUAACAGCACUGACCUCAAAAUUUAUUAUCAAAAUCAGUAAAGCUGUGCAUAUGAAGAAUGAAGAAUUGUGUCUAGCAUAAAGAAAGCACUCAGCAAACAUCUUCACAGUUGUUUUUUAUUUCAUAAUGCAUAAAGUUUCCCAUUACUCAGGAAAAGUAUGCCAGUCAGAAAUGGUAUCAACCUUGAUUUGGGUUUCAAUAUUUGUUGAUUGUAAAGUAAGCCUUUACAACUCUCUAGUUGUCUCUUAAUGGAUAUCAAGGUUGAAUCAGACUAUGUGUUUAGAGCCCCCCGUGGUGCCUUUUCUGUGUUAUUGAAACUGGAUUGCAGAGCACUCUCUCCAGUCUACCAUGGUAAGUCCACAAUUUCUAAAUGCAUUCUGAUUCUUGAGUGAAGCUUCUUUAAAACUCAAACAAGCUCAUGCUUGGCAAGAGGAGCAGAUAUGAGAGCAUCAUCGAACUGCACCUCCGAGACCCGAGCUGGAGAAGAAUUAAGUAAACAAUUCCUUUCACUCUCAUAAACAAACU
Molecule: long non-coding RNA, 693 nt
Filed under: Mus musculus (house mouse)
Lineage: Eukaryota; Metazoa; Chordata; Mammalia; Rodentia; Muridae
Description: long non-coding RNA chr2:96570347-96571040
Source: RNAcentral